GACGAACGCGGGCGGCGUGCCUAAUACAUGCAAGUAGAACGCACAGUUUAUACCGUAGCUUGCUACACCAUAGACUUGAGUUGCGAACGGGUGAGUAACGCGUAGGUAACCUCCUGGUAGCGGGGGAUAACUAUUGGAAACGAUAGCUAAUACCGCAUAAUAUUAAUUAUUGCAUGAUAAUUAAUUGAAAGGUGCAAUUGCACCACUACCAGAUGGACCUGCGUUGUAUUAGCUAGUAGGUGAGGUAACGGCUCACCUAGGCGACGAUACAUAGCCGACCUGAGAGGGUGAUCGGCCACACUGGGACUGAGACACGGCCCAGACUCCUACGGGAGGCAGCAGUAGGGAAUCUUCGGCAAUGGACGAAAGUCUGACCGAGCAACGCCGCGUGAGUGAAGAAGGUUUUCGGAUCGUAAAGCUCUGUUGUAAGAGAAGAACGGGUGUGAGAGUGGAAAG
This 456-nucleotide ribosomal RNA is filed under the name Streptococcus gordonii. RNAcentral's name for it is "bacterial SSU rRNA". It matches the Rfam family "Bacterial small subunit ribosomal RNA", at positions 28 to 464 of the family's 1533-position model. Lineage: Bacteria; Bacillati; Bacillota; Bacilli; Lactobacillales; Streptococcaceae. The record is from RNAcentral.